CUGUAAAGAUAUGUUGGCCGUAGGGCCAUCUCCGAGUUUUAGGAAGCGGAACAUAUCGAUGAA
This 63-nucleotide non-coding RNA is filed under the name unclassified sequences. RNAcentral describes it as "S4-Fusobacteriales ribosomal protein leader". It matches the Rfam family "S4-Fusobacteriales ribosomal protein leader". The record is from RNAcentral.